CGGACGGGUGAGUAACGCGUGGAAAACCUGCCGUAUACUGGGGGAUAACACUUAGAAAUAGGUGCUAAUACCGCAUAAGCGCACAGCUUCGCAUGAAGUGGUGUGAAAAACUCCGGUGGUAUACGAUGGUUCCGCGUCUGAUUAGCUUGUUGGUGGGGUAAUGGCUCACCAAGGCGACGAUCAGUAGCCGGCCUGAGAGGGUGAACGGCCACAUUGGGACUGAGACACGGCCCAAACUCCUACGGGAGGCAGCAG
Molecule: ribosomal RNA, 255 nt
Filed under: uncultured bacterium
Lineage: Bacteria
Description: partial 16S ribosomal RNA
Rfam family: Bacterial small subunit ribosomal RNA
Source: RNAcentral